GGUUCGAUCGUCCCGGAGGAAAAGCUUGGACGACGUUCAGGAGGCAGUCGCGUCCGGACGCGCGUUCACAUGCCACUGUGUGGCCUACAUCCCAAGUUAAAUUCACACACCGGUGUUCCAGUCUAUUAUAAAUUGGACUGUCGAGGCGUAAGUGCCGCAUGGUAUAAGCCGAGAAGAGCUUCAUUAUUUCACGGUUAGAUUCUUCAGGGACGGAUUUGAGGAAGAGAUUAAGAUUAUGAGUAUAAAGAUUGUUAGGAGGACGCAAGUGUGUUUACGCGUGUGUGUUUUUUAAGAGUGAAAUGAGAUUUUUGUCAAGGAGAAAUUGUUUUAUUUGUGAUAUCGAUGAUUGUGAUUAUGAUUUCGAUUGAAUCGAAUCUUAUUUUUUUUCGAAGUUGAUGGUUUUUGCAAUAAUUUUAACUUUGGAAAGGAUGAAAGUAUAUAUGUGAUAUAUGUGAAAAGUAUUUUAUUGGUUUGAAUAUGAGAUUUUUAAAAAUUAUUUUUAUAUAAUUGAUUAUGUUUAUAAUAUAGAGAAUAAAAUAUUUGCAAAUUAAAUAAAUUAUGUAUGACUUGAGAAUAUUUGAUUAUAUUUAUCUGUAAAAAAGAAAAAGAGAGAAUCAUGAUAAUAUAUAUCGUAUUAUUAUUAUUAUUAUUAUUAAUUGUAUUAAUAAUUUAUUAUUAAUUGUAAAUAUCAAAAUAUCUCAAUGAUGAAUAAACAAAAUACAAAAUAACAAAAUAUCUUUGGCAAGAA
Apis cerana (Asiatic honeybee) is the source of this 748-nucleotide long non-coding RNA. RefSeq lists it as uncharacterized. The record is from RefSeq and is a predicted model, not a curated record. NCBI's taxonomy places the organism in Eukaryota, Metazoa, Arthropoda, Insecta, Hymenoptera, Apidae.